Molecule: ribosomal RNA, 405 nt
Filed under: uncultured bacterium
Lineage: Bacteria
Description: bacterial SSU rRNA
Rfam family: Bacterial small subunit ribosomal RNA
Source: RNAcentral
UGGGGAAUCUUGCACAAUGGGCGAAAGCCUGAUGCAGCGAUUCCGCGUGGAGGAUGAAGCAUUACGGUGUGUAAACUCCUUUUUUGGUGGAAGACGAAUGACGGUACACCAAGAAUAAGGGACGGCUAACUACGUGCCAGCAGCCGCGGUAAUACGUAGGUCCCAAGCGUUAUCCGGAUUUACUGGGCGUAAAGUGUCCGUAGCCCGGUUUAUAAGUCUGUUUUCAAAUACUCCGACUCAAUCGGAGGAAGGGAAUAGAUACUGUAGACCUAGAGAUUAUUGGAGGUUAGUGGAAUUUCCGGUGGAGCGGUGAAAUGCGUUGAUAUCGGAAAGAACGCCAAAAGCGAAAGCAGCUAACUAUUAUUAAUCUGACGGUGAUGGACGAAAGCUUGAGUAGCAAACGGG